This 198-nucleotide ribosomal RNA is filed under the name Triticum aestivum (bread wheat). RNAcentral describes it as "partial small subunit ribosomal RNA". The record is from RNAcentral. Lineage: Eukaryota; Viridiplantae; Streptophyta; Magnoliopsida; Poales; Poaceae.
AUGGUGGCGGCGGGACCUCAUUUGCCCUGCCUCUACGUGGGGAACUCCGGAUCUGGAGCGGCGGCUCCAUUGGCAAGGCACGGCCGGCUAGCAGCUGUGCGGGCGGUGGAUCUGGCGUCCCGGCCGCGAGUGCGGCGGGAUCCGGUGGUCGUUGGCGGCCGGCGGCGGUUUCUGCGGUGGCCGGUGCGUGCGAUCUAG